Molecule: ribosomal RNA, 252 nt
Filed under: uncultured bacterium
Lineage: Bacteria
Description: partial 16S ribosomal RNA
Rfam family: Bacterial small subunit ribosomal RNA
Source: RNAcentral
UACGUAGGGCGCGAGCGUUGUCCGGAAUCAUUGGGCGUAAAGAGCUCGUAGGCGGCCGGUUGCGUCUGCUGUGAAAUCCCGGGCUUAACCCCGGGCGUGCAGUGGAUACGGGCUGGCUGGAGGCAGGCAGGGGAGAAUGGAAUUCCCGGUGUAGCGGUGAAAUGCGCAGAUAUCGGGAGGAACACCGGUGGCGAAGGCGGUUCUCUGGGCCUGACCUGACGCUGAGGAGCGAAAGCGUGGGGAGCGAACAGG